CUGGUUGUAACCAACAUCCAAAUGGAUCGCAUACAACUUAACCGCAAUGAACAAAUAAAUAAAUGAUGCUUUAUGAAUAACUUUUUCAUUCAUUAAUUGCAUUUGUAUUCAUUUUGGCCAACCAAGAAUAUAUAUAUUAAAUUAUUACAUAAACUAUCUACAAAAAUCGAGAUUAUAUAUUAUAAAAAAAAUGAAAAGUUAUGUAUUUUUGGUAAUUUUUUUCUUUUUUUAAGACAUAAAUAC
Molecule: long non-coding RNA, 243 nt
Filed under: Citrus sinensis (sweet orange)
Lineage: Eukaryota; Viridiplantae; Streptophyta; Magnoliopsida; Sapindales; Rutaceae
Description: long non-coding RNA (CSIN_LNC005572)
Source: RNAcentral